RNAcentral lists this ribosomal RNA (119 nucleotides) under Salmo salar (Atlantic salmon). The record is from RNAcentral. Lineage: Eukaryota; Metazoa; Chordata; Actinopteri; Salmoniformes; Salmonidae.
GCUUACGGCCAUACCAGCCUGUGUACGCCCGAUCUCGUCUGAUCUCGGAAGCUAAGCAGGGUGGGGCCUGGUUAGUACUUGGAUGGGAGACCGCCUGGGAAUACCAGGUGCUGUAAGCA